CUUGGUGACGGAGUCGUUGACGUUGAUGGCGGGGAAGAGGAGAGCGCCGGACUCCUGCAUCUGGUAGAGCCUCUUGACACCGGUGGUGGUCUCCUCAGACAUACCGACGAGCCUCUACUUCAUCUUGCGGUACCUCCUGACGUCGGUCUUGAGGCCGUCGCGGAUGAUGGUGAGGACGAUCUUGAACUCGGGGUUGUCGGUGGAGUCGGGGUCAAGGACCUUGCCGGACUUCUCGAACUCCUCCUCGGCCUUGACGCCCUCGUGGAUGAGCAGGGUGGCGUCGCCGCCGUCGUCGACGAUGAGGUCGGGGCCGCCGCCGGCGCCCCAGUCGAGGCAGCGCUCGGUGCACCACCAGUACUCCUCGAGCGUCUCGCCCUUCCAGGCGAAGACGGCGGCGGAGUCGCGCGCGAUGGCGGCGGCGGCGUGGUCCUGCGU
This is a non-coding RNA of Lolium perenne, 435 nucleotides long. Lineage: Eukaryota; Viridiplantae; Streptophyta; Magnoliopsida; Poales; Poaceae. The record is from RefSeq and is a predicted model, not a curated record.